Long non-coding RNA from Drosophila innubila, 347 nucleotides. RefSeq lists it as uncharacterized. NCBI's taxonomy places the organism in Eukaryota, Metazoa, Arthropoda, Insecta, Diptera, Drosophilidae. The record is from RefSeq and is a predicted model, not a curated record. The transcript has 2 exons.
UGUCAGUGCUGUCGUGUGAGCGUGUGUGUCACCACGUUGUGGUCUCUCGAAUCCCGGCAAGCGUUACCCUUAAAUCCUCCCUUCGGUACCCCGUGUAGUUUGUGCGGUUUCGUCCUUUCCCUCACCUCUAGUCGCUGUCUCCGGGCAUUUGUGUGUGUCGCUGUUGCUGGCAAGUGGCCGCCUUUGUUGCAUGGCAACACUUGGCUAAUCGAUGAGGUGCCGAAAAAGCGGACACAUACCCGAAGCACACACCCACAAGGAUAACACAAGGAUAAUGACCCAAACCGAUUUGCUUACAAAUUGAAUUCAUGCAACACGAGACUGCAGCUCAAAAAUGUGAAAAUACA